UGGCGAACGGGUGAGUAACACGUGGGCAAUCUGCCCUGCACUCUGGGAUAAGCCUGGGAAACUGGGUCUAAUACCGGAUAGGACCUUUCUCCUCAUGGGGUUUGGUGGAAAGUUUUUCGGUGCAGGAUGAGCCCGCGGCAUAUCAGCUUGUUGGUGGGGUAAUGGCCUACCAAGGCGACGACGGGUAGCCGGCCUGAGAGGGUGAUCGGCCACAUUGGGACUGAGAUACGGCCCAG
This 236-nucleotide ribosomal RNA is filed under the name uncultured Actinomycetales bacterium. Its description in RNAcentral is "partial 16S ribosomal RNA". It matches the Rfam family "Bacterial small subunit ribosomal RNA", at positions 96 to 334 of the family's 1533-position model. The record is from RNAcentral. Lineage: Bacteria; Bacillati; Actinomycetota; Actinomycetes; Actinomycetales.